Hemicordylus capensis (graceful crag lizard) is the source of this 4140-nucleotide long non-coding RNA. RefSeq lists it as uncharacterized. The record is from RefSeq and is a predicted model, not a curated record. The transcript has 5 exons. NCBI's taxonomy places the organism in Eukaryota, Metazoa, Chordata, Lepidosauria, Squamata, Cordylidae.
AUACAACUGUUACUGGUCCGAAGAUAACCAGUAGAGGAGAGGAAUGAUUGUAGAGGAGAGGAAUCUUUCAUACAUACAUACAUGAAAUAGUGGGCAAGGGUCUGCAAAGGGAGGAAAGAGCCUCUUCAGGAGAAGGAGGCUGCCGUUGUGUGAAUUAGAUGAGAAAACAAGAUGAACAAGAUCUAUUAACCCAGGAAGGGAGGGAGAAAGAAAAAAAAGGAGGGGAAGAAAGAUAAAGGGGAAGAGUGAAUGGACAGAAGAGAGAAAAAAGGGAGGGAAAGAGAGAAAGAAGGAAGGGCAAGGGAUGGGCCUGAGCCUGUCAGCAGCCUGAGGGGAAUGAGCAGCCAUGGCAGCACCUAUUGGCAGCAAGGAAGGGCCCAUUCAACCACUGCUGCUGUUUGGGGCUACCGAGGCCAUUGUUGGAGGGAGGGAGGCAGGCAGGCAGGCAGGCAGGCAGGCAAGGGAUGGGCCUCGGCCUGUCAGCAGCCUGAGUGGGAUGAGCAGCCAUGGAGGUAGUGAGGAAAGGCGCCAUCAAGUGCUGCUGCUCCUGUGGGGAGGAGCAGGUGAGGUCAUCUGUGGGGUUAGGGGGCUGCAGCUUGGCUAGUAGGUGCCAGCAGCCAUGACCAAGAGGGGUGAGGGGGGUGGAGUAAAGGAAGAGAGGAGUGAUCAAGAGGGAUGAGGAGGAUGGAAGCAACUGGAUGGAGGAGGAGGAGGAGGAGUACAGCUCAGAAGAAGAAGAAGAAGAGUACACUGUGCAUCACUUUAUAUUUCCCAGCAAUAAUCUGGCAUCCUGCCAGGCCCAUUCAAAGAGGCAGUUAGCCCAAGUGCAUACAGGCAAGCCUCGUUAUCUGCGGUUCCAUCAUCCGCGGUUUGUGUAUAUGUGGUCAGAUGAAUGAUACCCAACCUCAGCAUUUGUGGGACGAAACGGCACACAAAAGCCCUUCUCCUCCUCAGCAUAACCUAUGCCAUGGAUUGGAGAAUGCUGUCUAUCAAGAAGUUGUCCAACAGUCAGCCUGAUCUUGAGCAUUACUCAUGAGAAACAGAGCAAAGGCCUUAACUUAAUUUGCGGCUAAAUGUUAUCUAUCAACUGUCCAAACCCGCUUCAGUGUGUGCUGACUAUGCUGCUCUCCGUCUGUAAAACGGACACAUUAAAAACCCAUUUCACAAAGCUGUUCUGAGAAAGGAUGGAUAAAUAAAGCAGGGAUCGCAAGGUACUCUGCACCCUCCUAGUGUUACACAAUUGGCAUUUUUAGUAAAUAAUGCUGACAUUUUCAAAGUCUUGAGAACUGCGACAUAAUUUUUUAAAUGGAAAACACACAAAGAACAACAUGUGGAACGAAACUCUCGAAGCACGAAGGAGUCCAUUAUCCUCUGUUUCAAUUAAUCCGGGGAAAUUAAUUCCAAAAAAUAAAGGACGCUGCUAAAUCCACCCUUGCUUACCCCAGCUAGAACUUUACCACAGGACUGUGUGAAUCUUUGCCUUUCGGAGUCGGACCUGCAUCUGCUUCUGCAGGCAAAGCCCGAGGCAGCCAUCAGCACCAACCUCCCAAGCAACCUAAAACUGCAAAGAUCAGUCCACAGCAAAUGACUUACUUGUACCUCCUUCGAGGGAAGCUCCUGGCAAACGCGAAUCUGCUAAUAAUAAUCCUCCUCAGUUCGUACGAGCUGCGCUUUGAACAAUGCAGCUCAGGCGAGCCAUGACUCCUACCCCGUUUUCCGAGGAUGACGAAACCCGGAUUUUGCUGCAAUCCUCUUUCGUUGUAGGACUCCGGUUACUGGGCAAGUUUGGCUGGGUUCGCCUUUCUCAGCUGCCCCCCACCUUGUUUCUCCUGCUGCUGGCUAGAAGCUGGAAUGAGAUACCGCCAAGUUGUCCUGGUCUCUGGGUUUGUGUCUCUAGGAGUCCUGCUGUUGCUUCUGAGUAACCAUUUUAGAUUAGGAGACUCCCUAUAAGCAACGACAGGCCUACCACCCAAGGCCUGGGAGAAAGAAGCAUUUCCAGGAUGGACUGUAGAUAACUGAUAAUGCAUUGAAGUGGAUUAAGUGGAAGCUGUAGGUGUCAACUCACUGUAUUCUGGCACUUUCUCUUCUGAGCCUCUUGUUAUUCCUAAUUAUCAGUCUGACCCUUUCUUCAGUUCAUGGGGUGGAUAUUGUAGUUUUUGGCCUAAAAGUAUAAUAUAAGUCCUCAAGGUAUGACUUAAUGUCCAAGGAGUUGGAACAAAUACAGUUGUAUCAUAGGGCUUGGCCGUAAGCUAUGGCUCAUGUGUUGUGUGCUCUGGAUGGAAGCUAAAAGCAUGUAAAUUUUUGUGGGCUUCUGUGGACUUCUGACAAGGUAGCGUUUAUUGUCUGUUGCACAGUUGUAUAGUAGUGUCCAGGACUGGUAUCUAGGGAGUGAAUAUACUGGGUGAAGAAUGGACUUUAAGGAGGGGAAGUUUAGUUUAAAAUUGUCUAUGUUCUGUAUGCUGCUUAGUUUGGAGGUUUUGUGGGAAGGUGAGUGUGGUGUUGCAUGCUAGUUUACAUGCUAGUUAUGAUCUCUAGGGGGCUUGGCUGGAUUUGUCUGAUGGAAGGAAUUCCAUGGGUUUCAGAACUGGGCAGCAGCCGGCAGCUGCAGGAGAGAAUUACUUGGUUGUUAAUUGACAGUGGCUAAGGAAGCAACUGACAGUUUGGAUAAGAUGUUGAUGGAUUGACAAGGAAAUUAGUUGGUUAAAAUAUAAAGGGUAAGGCAGAAGAAGUAAUUGUGGGCUGGAGCUAAGGAAAGUAGCUGGUGGAAGGAAGUGUGAAGUCUUUUAUAUUCACUUUCUGAACAGCUUCUAAGGUCAAACCCUCUUGCUUAUAUCUGUCAGAGGCAUUAUGAAAGUAUAACUAAAGAGUGAAACAAGUCUAACUCAAGAAGUGCUGUAAAAAGUUGUUUAAUUAAAAACCUAAAUUGCUGUAUUGAUUAAAAGGAUCAUCUUCUGGGGAAUAAUAAAUUAUCUCUACCUUCUAAUUGAAUGGACUAACUCUCUGUUGGUGUAACUCCCAUGCCUACAGCAUUUCCCACUUACCAAGGGCAGUGACUGGCACAGUAGUCCCAGCACAGUUAAGAUGAGGACUUGUUUCAACAUUCUACCAUUAUAAGCCCUGAACAUUCUAUUGAUUACAAAACUGAAACUUCCUUUCCAAUCUGCCUAAACAUUUGCAGACAUUAGCCAGGUGAUGUGAUACCAUCCCUCCAAAUCUGCUGCUUAUCUGAUGUAAAAUGGCUUAGAUACAGCAGUUUAAAAACUGAUCCUUAAACUCUAGAAAACACACCUUAUUUUUUUAAAUGUCCCUUUCACUGUUUUUAAAAAUUCAGGUAUAUGCUGAAUCAUAAUCUUAUGUUGCUUUGAAAAAAACUCAUCCAGUAUUUUAUGAGUUAUUAGGGAUUAGACACCACAGCCACGUGGGCAGGAUAUCAAAAUCUAUAAGCAUGUAUUAUCAUUUCUGUAGAGAAAUUUUGAAAUUAUACCAAUUCAAAAUCAAGUGAAUGAAUGAAUGAAGUACCUGGUUCCACAUGAUAGCUUAGCUGCUACCUGGAAACAAUAACUAUUUUUAUAUAGAGAUUAUUUUUAUAUUUAUAUUAUCUGUACUUUUGCAUUAUGUAUUUUAAUUUUUGAGAUCAUCUGUACUUUUGUAUUUUAAUUAUGCAUUUUUUAAAUUAUAUUGUAAACCACUUUGAGAUUAUUUUAAUGAAAAGGGGUAUAUAAAUUGAACAAUACAUAAAUAAACUACAAGGAUUCCUUUAUAAUAAUGCCACUGAAGAAGGCCAAAACACAUAUGGCUACAUUAGAUAAGGAAGGACAUUCCCUAUAUGAGACUUGCAGUUGAUGUUAACUCCCCAUAAGAUACAGCAUUCAUAUUCUUACCUUAUCCAAGGACAACUGGAUUCCUCUUUAAUUUACAUUGGAUAUUUAAAUGCCCAGAAGGUCAACUUAUAGAGGUCUGAUCUGCAAGUUGUGACAUUCCUUUUAUAUUUAUUUGAGGACCUCAGUAGUAAGGUUGACCGUAAAUUCUCAUUAUACAAACUGUUCUAUACUCAUGUUUUUUGUUGUUACAUGUCCUUUUUUAUAGACAUUGCUCACAUUGAUGUGCUAAAUGAGAUUGUUUAUUAAAUGUUUCUCUUUA